GCCUCCGUGGUCUGGUGGUCAGAGUAACUGGCCACUAACCCAGAGGUCCCGGGUUCAAAUCCCGGCCGAGGUG
RNAcentral lists this transfer RNA (73 nucleotides) under Trialeurodes vaporariorum (greenhouse whitefly). RNAcentral describes it as "tRNA-Ser for anticodon ACU". It matches the Rfam family "tRNA". Rfam says of the family: Transfer RNA (tRNA) molecules are approximately 80 nucleotides in length. Their secondary structure includes four short double-helical elements and three loops (D, anti-codon, and T loops). Lineage: Eukaryota; Metazoa; Arthropoda; Insecta; Hemiptera; Aleyrodidae. The record is from RNAcentral.